AGUUUAACGUACAGCGCUCCUUCAGUGAAAUCUCACAAACAGGGGGAGAUAAUUUGAUUGUGUGGCAUGAUUUCUGAAGCUUUUAGAUUCAUUAACUGAAAAAAUUAAUAUCUUUCCCCCACUCGCUUUUCUUUUAGCUCGGUUUAAACUUAUCACUAAUGCGUCACAUGGCAAAUAGAUUUUACAAUUAUUUUCAGCUCAAUUGGAAUAACAUUUCCAUCACAUAUAUAUAUAAUAAACAAUAUCUGAAUAAAUAAAUGCGUUAUUCUAAAAAUAAGACGGGAAACAUUUUCAUCUCUUCCUCAUCCUUGAACAAGCCAGUGAUCAAGAACGUCCCUGCUUGCCUUCACAACCAGUUAUAGUAAGCUUCCUCCACCCAGCAAUACCGCCAUCUACACCGCUGCUAUAUCAUCAUCUUCAGCGUCUACUGGCAACUGUUCUGCUACUAUAACGACUGCAGCUUUACCGACAUUUCUUUACCAAUAAGCAGCAGCAGUAGCAGUCGCACACACCAACACCUCCACCACCACUACCAACACCAUUACCACCGUUUACUGCUGCCAUCCGGGGGAGGCACACCGAGUAAAGACGAAGGCGGUGGAGGAAGAAGAAGCCGCCGACGACGACGAAGAAGAGGAAGAAGAAAACGUCGUGGUUCGACGCUGCUAGAAUAAACCGACUACUACCAAGCACCUUAACGUCAGCCAGGGAAGAAAGAAGCUUUCCCUUGUUGAAACAAGGACUGGAGUGUCGGCUUCAUCCCAGCAUCGUUUGGUGAAGCCGAACAACUCCAUCAACGUUGUCGCCACCACCCAAAAUAUCUACCAAAAUACCUACCCACCCCCCAGUCGGGAUAUAUUUUGGGGGUGGGAGAAAAAGUGAGAGAGUUAGAAAGAGAAAGAUGUGGAUUUCAAUACGUAUCCUUUUGACAAGCAACAACAUCCAUGGCUGAAACCAGCUCCAGGCACGUCCUCUCUGUGGUAACAGCAUUAAACCUCCUUCGACAGCACCAAGUCUGGUCAGGGCACAUUACUACAGAAAAGGUUUUUAGAGCCCUAAUAAAAAGAAAACAAAUCUAAGGGAAGACGUCUUUUAAAAAAAGUAUUAAAACUAAAAAAUAUAUAUAUAUAUAUAAAACACCGCGGAAAUUUGGAGAGAUAUGGCACCCACAAGGAGCACAGGACAGUGGCAAGGUGUCCGCCGCCGUCGCCGGGGAGGGACUCUUUAUUACCAUUAUUAUUCUGGCACUGUCGCAGAAGGAGGAUCUUUACUCAGGAAAAGCUUGACACUGGAACCGUUAUUAUUAUAUUCCGUGUUACAUCUGCUUUUAUUCUAUCAAGGGUGUGAAGCUCUUGAUUUAG
This is a long non-coding RNA of Octopus sinensis (East Asian common octopus), 1361 nucleotides long. RefSeq lists it as uncharacterized. The transcript is spliced from 2 exons. The record is from RefSeq and is a predicted model, not a curated record. NCBI's taxonomy places the organism in Eukaryota, Metazoa, Mollusca, Cephalopoda, Octopoda, Octopodidae.